RNAcentral lists this signal recognition particle RNA (252 nucleotides) under Thermoleophilaceae bacterium. RNAcentral describes it as "partial signal recognition particle sRNA large type". It matches the Rfam family "Bacterial large signal recognition particle RNA". From Rfam's summary of the family: The signal recognition particle (SRP) is a universally conserved ribonucleoprotein involved in the co-translational targeting of proteins to membranes. Archaeal SRP consists of a 7S RNA and homologues of the eukaryotic SRP19 and SRP54 proteins. Lineage: Bacteria; Bacillati; Actinomycetota; Thermoleophilia; Thermoleophilales; Thermoleophilaceae. The record is from RNAcentral.
AGGUAGCGGUGACCUGUAUCCGCAAUCCGCUCUAGCGGGGCUGAAUUCCUGUUUUAGGGACCAAGCCCUGGGGGUCAGUACGCCGGACCGAGGUGUUGAUGGUCGGGUCCCGCGCGGUGAGCGACUGCGAACCAGGUCAGAUCCGGAAGGAAGCAGCCUUAAGCGGAUCCGCUCAUGCGCCGCGGAACAGCCUGACCGGAGCCGGGGCUUGGCGGGCACGCCCGGAGGAGGGUUUCGACGGUGGGUGCACGG